Hordeum vulgare subsp. vulgare (domesticated barley) is the source of this 168-nucleotide non-coding RNA. Lineage: Eukaryota; Viridiplantae; Streptophyta; Magnoliopsida; Poales; Poaceae. The record is from Rfam.
GCUAGGAAGAGGAAGAAAGAGAGGGCCUAAGAGCAAUGGGAAUGAGAACAUAGAGGAAAACCUAAUCGGUUCUUCACCUCUUGUGUUGACUUGUAAAUCUUGCUUGGUAUUUCCCAAUGCCUCUCAUUUCUAUCGUUCUUAAGCGCCUCCUUCCACUUUCUUUUUGUU